This 478-nucleotide ribosomal RNA is filed under the name uncultured bacterium. RNAcentral describes it as "bacterial SSU rRNA". It matches the Rfam family "Bacterial small subunit ribosomal RNA", at positions 21 to 507 of the family's 1533-position model. The record is from RNAcentral.
GGCUCAGGAUGAACGCUGGCGGCGUGCUUAACACAUGCAAGUCGAACGAAGAUGCCGGAGUGCUUGCACUUUGGCAGACUGAGUGGCGAACGGGUGAGUAACGCGUGAGGAACCUGCCUUUCAGAGGGGGACAACAGUUGGAAACGACUGCUAAUACCGCAUGACACAUCGGAGUCGCAUGGCUCUGAUGUCAAAGAUUUAUCGCUGAAAGAUGGCCUCGCGUCUGAUUAGCUAGUUGGUGAGGUAACGGCCCACCAAGGCGACGAUCAGUAGCCGGACUGAGAGGUUGAACGGCCACAUUGGGACUGAGAUACGGCCCAGACUCCUACGGGAGGCAGCAGUGGGGAAUAUUGGGCAAUGGGCGCAAGCCUGACCCAGCAACGCCGCGUGAAGGAAGAAGGCUUUCGGGUUGUAAACUUCUUUUGUCAGGGACGAGUAGAAGACGGUACCUGACGAAUAAGCCACGGCUAACUACGUG